Quercus lobata is the source of this 500-nucleotide long non-coding RNA. RefSeq lists it as uncharacterized. The record is from RefSeq and is a predicted model, not a curated record. The transcript is spliced from 2 exons. Lineage: Eukaryota; Viridiplantae; Streptophyta; Magnoliopsida; Fagales; Fagaceae.
AAGGAUCUCACUGCCCUUUGGUCCCUUGAUUCGAAGGGGAAUGUUAAUGGUGCUGUUGAGACUUGUGGAGAGAGCUUCCAUCAUUUUGAUCGAUUGCGCAUCAGCCUAGCAUAUAUGUCCUAGACACUCCAGGUGUAUUGGUUCCAAGUAUCCCUGACAUUGAGACAGGACUGAAGCUAGCUCUUGCAGGAAUCAUCCUCUUGCAAAUAAUUUCUCCUAACUUUUAGUUUAAGAUAUGCUAAACCAUGCUUGACUGUUGUAAACGGACAAAAAUAAGUGCCACCUCUCUCCAACCACUAUUAAGAGAAGCCAUAUCCUUACUCAACCGGAGUUGAUUUGGUUGCAACAAACUAACUGGAUCAGCUUAAGUAAUGUUGGUUGAGGCCUAAAAGUUUUAUGCUUGAAGUUGUGUUGGUUUAAUCCUCUUGUUGACCUCCAACCAACACAGGUUGCCCAAACUACAGCUAGUAAAAUUUUCAACCCUGGCGUCUUAAAUUUUA